Molecule: small nuclear RNA, 128 nt
Filed under: Salvator merianae (Argentine black and white tegu)
Lineage: Eukaryota; Metazoa; Chordata; Lepidosauria; Squamata; Teiidae
Description: U1 spliceosomal RNA (ENSSMRG00000023313.1)
Rfam family: U1 spliceosomal RNA
About the family: U1 is a small nuclear RNA (snRNA) component of the spliceosome (involved in pre-mRNA splicing). Its 5' end forms complementary base pairs with the 5' splice junction, thus defining the 5' donor site of an intron.
Source: RNAcentral
UUACAUUCUUGGUAAGGAAGAUAAAACACGCAGAAAGGUGAUUUUUCCCAGGAUGAAACUCAGAUAUUGCACUUUGGGUGUGCUGACCCUUGUAACUUCCUCAAAUGUGAGAAACUUGACUGCCUCAC